RNAcentral lists this ribosomal RNA (253 nucleotides) under uncultured bacterium. RNAcentral's name for it is "partial 16S ribosomal RNA". It matches the Rfam family "Bacterial small subunit ribosomal RNA", at positions 524 to 776 of the family's 1533-position model. The record is from RNAcentral.
UACGGAGGGUGCAAGCGUUGUCCGGAUUUAUUGGGUUUAAAGGGUGCGUAGGCGGCCCUGUAAGUCAGUGGUGAAAUACUGCAGCUUAACUGUAGCAUUGCCAUUGAUACUGUAGGGCUUGAGUACAGAUGAGGUAGGCGGAAUUGAUGGUGUAGCGGUGAAAUGCGUAGAUAUCGGAAGGAACACCAGUGGCGAAAGCGGCUUCCUGGCCCAGCACCGACGUUCAGGCACGAAAGCGUGGGGAGCAAACAGG